RNAcentral lists this non-coding RNA (43 nucleotides) under unclassified sequences. RNAcentral describes it as "SAM-SAH-Weickhmann-2018 RNA". It matches the Rfam family "SAM/SAH riboswitch aptamer", at positions 6 to 49 of the family's 49-position model. The record is from RNAcentral.
GCUACAACGGCUUCCUGGAGUAGUUUUAAAAUUAAUUGGAGCA